This 274-nucleotide ribosomal RNA is filed under the name uncultured bacterium. RNAcentral describes it as "partial 16S ribosomal RNA". It matches the Rfam family "Bacterial small subunit ribosomal RNA", at positions 523 to 796 of the family's 1533-position model. The record is from RNAcentral.
AUACGGAGGGUGCAAGCGUUGUUCGGAUUCACUGGGUAUAAAGGGUGCGCAGGCGGUCUGAUAAGUCAGAGGUGAAAUAUGUCGGCUCAACCGGCAUACGGCCCCUGAAACUGUCAGACUUGAGUCCGGGAGAGGUAGGUGGAAUUCCAGGUGUAGCGGUGAAAUGCGUAAAUAUCUGGAGGAACACCGGUGGCGAAGGCGGCCUACUGGCUCGAUACUGACGCUCAGGCACGAAAGCAUGGGGAGCGAACGGGAUUAGAAACCCCAGUAGUCC